This 2774-nucleotide long non-coding RNA is filed under the name Equus asinus (donkey). Its description in RNAcentral is "lncRNA (ENSEASG00005024263.1)". Lineage: Eukaryota; Metazoa; Chordata; Mammalia; Perissodactyla; Equidae. The record is from RNAcentral.
AAGAAGGGACAUAGUGAAUCAGAAGCUAUGAGAAGUUUCUGAAAGACAGAAAGUGGAUGCAUUUGGGCUGAAGAUGAAAGAGCAGCCUGGGAUGGGUAUAAGAGGAUUGUACCGUGAAGGUGAGAGCAGUCCCAACAAUGUGUGGUUUCUGGGACUGGAGGAAGCUCAGGAGACACUGACACCGCAGUUAGUAGUGGUUUCAUAGAGGGAGCAGCCAGCUGUGUCGACCCUACCUGUUGGGUAGGAGAGGGAGCAUCUGCUCCCAGGCAAAUGUAGCAUGGGGGCCGGUCUUUGAAUCAGAAAGAUGGGCCCAAGGUUCAGGUGGCUGUUGAUGCUGUGAGGAACAUUGUAGACACAAUGUCCUUGACAAUUAGUAAGAGAGAAACCAGAGCACAUGAAGCAGUAGUGAAUGUUUUACAGUUUUCUAGGUCCGUUGAGCAGUGCCCUUGGUCCUCCCUCCCUGUGACUUUAACCCUAGACCCGGAGCCACCUCUGCUUACCCCUCUCCUCUUUCUAGGUCUUCAUGCUGAACCUGAAUUCUACUUCAUGUGGAAUUCCUUCUACCUUGCCACCUCCAGAAGAUAUGACCACUUGUAGAAAAUCUUGCUCUUCUGCCAAUCUUCUCAGUCUCAGUAAAUAGUAUCACCAUCCAUUAGGUAGCAAAACUAAGAAAUGCAGAAGGUAUUCUUGAUCUCCCUCUUCCACUCUGUAUUUGUUUCUUGUGGCUGCCAAAGCAAAUUUACCACAAAUUUGGGUGGCUUAAAAUAACAGAAAUCUAUUCGCAUGGUUCUGGAAGCUAGAAGUCCAAAAUCAGAUGUUGGCAGGGUUGAUUUUUUCCGGCAGCUCUGGAGGAAAAUCUGAUCCAUGCCUAUUCUAGCUUCUGUUGGCUGUGGGCAAUCCUUGACUUGUAGAUGCACCACUCCAAUUUCUGCCUGUCUUCACAUGACCUUUCCCUCUGGGUCUCUGUGUCUGUCUGUUUUCUCUCUCUUAUAAGGACAUAAUCUUUGGAUUUAUAAUCUUUGGAUUUAGAACCUACCCUAAUCUAGGAUGAGCUCAUCUAGAGAGCCUUAUAUUAAUUACAUCUGCAAAGACCCUUAUUUCAAAUAAGGUCACGUUCUGAGCUUCCAGGUGGACAUAUCUUUUGGGGACCACAAUUCAACCCACUGCACCCUCCUUUCCUUGUCAAGUCAGCCCCAAGGCCUAUCGACUUUACUUCCCCAUAUACUCCAUUAUCUUUUCUUUCUCUUCAUGUUCAUUACCAACAUUCAGGCCGACGUCACCAUCAUCAUUCCCUGGACCAUUCCCCUAGCAGCCUAACUGAACUUUCUGCCUUCUCACUCAGACCCUUCCAGCCAUCAGUAGAGUGCAGGGUCCAGCACAUAGAAAUCACUCCAUUCACUGACUGAAAAUUGAAAGAGAUGGUUGGGACACGCUUCCAUGGCAUGAUAUGGGGAUGCAAUAGAGCCCUAUGUGACCCCAAACAACCCCAAGAACACCUGAAAAGGAGACAGAAGCCAAUGAAGGGAAGACACAAAAUACGACUCUUCAUUCCAGUCUCUAUAGUCAGCCAGUAUUCAUUGAGUGCUUUUUCUGUGCUGGGUGGGGUGCUGAGGAGGGGAGAAAGACAAGAUUUUUUGGAGCUUUGGAGCUUACUGUCUAGGGGGAUGUAUACAUGUAUGCCUUAUGCAAAAUAAUUUAACUUAUAAAAAGUUAGUUCCAUUUGCGAAUACUAAUGAAUUAGAAGUGAGUAUAGAAAAACCAUAUAACAUGUAGGAAUGACAGAAAUGAUAAAAUUUAGGAAAAAUUUAACCAAAGAGUUACAUAAUGUGUAUAAACAAAACAAUUCAGUUUUAUUUAAAAAACAAAUAGUGCCCAGUUCCUUCAAGACCUUGUAACCCAGGGAAGAUCUGAUUGCAUCUGCUGAAGAGUGGUCAUUACUGUAUUGUUGCAAUGUGCCUUCCCAUGUGUGAUGCCUGGUUGUUACCCUGCAUGUCCCUAGAUUGUUUGUAUGGUUACAUGAGCCUGUAUUACUUAUAUAAUUAAGCAAAGCUUUAAUAAUAAACAAGAAACAGUCAAUAGCAUAAAAUAUCAGUAAGGGAAAGUAGUUAAUAAACUUAUUAAUAAGGUUAAUAAGCACAUUAAUAAAGUUAAUUUGUUUAUGCUCAUCAAGUUAACCACUUGAUAAUAUUGGCAGUAUGUAUUAUAGAGCAGAAGGGUGUCCAGUGAUUAGAUCCAAGUACCAUUGGCCCUUGGCAUCCUUGGGUUCUGCCUCUGUGGAUUCAACCAAUUGGGGAUAGAAGAGCCUACGAUGGUUGUGUCUGUACUGAACAUGCACAGACUUUUUUUUCUUGUCAUUAUUCCCUAAACAAUAUAGUAUAACAACUAUUUACAUAGCAUUUACAUUGUAUUAGGUAUUAUAAGUGAUCUAGAGAUGAUUUAAAGUAUACUGGAGGAUAUGGUAGGUGGUAUGCAAAUCCCGCACCAUUUUAUAUAAGGGACUUGAGCAUCUGAGGAUUUUGGUAUCCACGGGGGUCCUGAAACCAAUCCCCUGCAGAUACCAAGGGAAGAAUGUAUACCCUGAAUCAUUAUUUUCUUUUCAUUUUAGAGACAUAGAAAUGAAAUUUGAACUAGAAAGAACCUGAUUGUCUCUUAGAAAUGUCUGGUGAAUUCCAAACUAUUUUACUCACAAUCUGUGAAGCAGAGCUUUGAACACAGGCCGUCCAUUCUUCUGGACAUUGGAGAAACCAAAAGCCAUUUGUCAAAGAGAAUCCUGG